Molecule: ribosomal RNA, 1445 nt
Filed under: uncultured marine cyanobacterium
Lineage: Bacteria; Bacillati; Cyanobacteriota
Description: bacterial SSU rRNA
Rfam family: Bacterial small subunit ribosomal RNA
Source: RNAcentral
GAGUUUGAUCCUGGCUCAGGAUGAACGCUGGCGGCGUGCUUAACACAUGCAAGUCGAACGAACCUUCGGGUUAGUGGCGGACGGGUGAGUAACGCGUGGGAAUCUGCCCUCAGGAGGGGGAUAACGGUUGGAAACGACCGCUAAUACCCCAUAUGCCGAGAGGUGAAAUGAAUUUCGCCUGAGGAUGAGCCCGCGUCUUAUUAGCUUGUUGGUGAGGUAAUGGCUCACCAAGGCAUCGAUCAGUAGCUGGUCUGAGAGGAUGAUCAGCCACACUGGGACUGAGACACGGCCCAGACUCCUACGGGAGGCAGCAGUGGGGAAUUUUCCGCAAUGGGCGAAAGCCUGACGGAGCAACGCCGCGUGAGGGACGAAGGCCUCUGGGCUGUAAACCUCUUUUCUCAAGGAAGAAGAUAUGACGGUACUUGAGGAAUAAGCCACGGCUAAUUCCGUGCCAGCAGCCGCGGUAAUACGGGAGUGGCAAGCGUUAUCCGGAAUUAUUGGGCGUAAAGCGUCCGCAGGCGGCCCUUCAAGUCUGCUGUUAAAACGUGGAGCUUAACUCCAUCAUGGCAGUGGAAACUGAUUGGCUUGAGUAUGGUAGGGGCAGAGGGAAUUCCCGGUGUAGCGGUGAAAUGCGUAGAUAUCGGGAAGAACACCAGUGGCGAAGGCGCUCUGCUGGGCCAUUACUGACGCUCAUGGACGAAAGCCAGGGGAGCGAAAGGGAUUAGAUACCCCUGUAGUCCUGGCCGUAAACGAUGAACACUAGGUGUCGGGGGAAUCGACCCCUUCGGUGUCGUAGCUAACGCGUUAAGUGUUCCGCCUGGGGAGUACGCACGCAAGUGUGAAACUCAAAGGAAUUGACGGGGGCCCGCACAAGCGGUGGAGUAUGUGGUUUAAUUCGAUGCAACGCGAAGAACCUUACCAGGGCUUGACAUCCUCCGAACCUUUAAGAAAUUAGAGGGUGCCUUCGGGAACGCAGUGACAGGUGGUGCAUGGCUGUCGUCAGCUCGUGUCGUGAGAUGUUGGGUUAAGUCCCGCAACGAGCGCAACCCACGUUUUUAGUUGCCAGCAUUUAGUUGGGCACUCUAGAAAGACCGCCGGUGAUAAACCGGAGGAAGGUGUGGAUGACGUCAAGUCAUCAUGCCCCUUACGUCCUGGGCUACACACGUACUACAAUGCUACGGACAAAGGGCAGCAAACUCGCGAGGGCUAGCAAAUCCCAUAAACCGUGGCUCAGUUCAGAUCGUAGGCUGCAACUCGCCUACGUGAAGUAGGAAUCGCUAGUAAUCGCAGGUCAGCAUACUGCGGUGAAUACGUUCCCGGGCCUUGUACACACCGCCCGUCACACCAUGGAAGUUGGCCACGCCCGAAGUCGUUACUUUAACCCUUGUGGAGAAGGACGCCGAAGGUGGGGCUGAUGACUGGGGUGAAGUCGUAACAAGGUAACC